This 467-nucleotide ribosomal RNA is filed under the name uncultured bacterium. Its description in RNAcentral is "partial 16S ribosomal RNA". It matches the Rfam family "Bacterial small subunit ribosomal RNA", at positions 28 to 507 of the family's 1533-position model. The record is from RNAcentral.
GAUGAACGCUGGCGGCGUGCUUAACACAUGCAAGUCGAACGGAAAGGCCCAAGCUUGCUUGGGUACUCGAGUGGCGAACGGGUGAGUAACACGUGGGUGAUCUGCCCUGCACUUCGGGAUAAGCCUGGGAAACUGGGUCUAAUACCGGAUAGGACCACUUCUUGGAUGUGGUGGUGGAAAGUUUUUUCGUUGUGGGAUGAGCUGGCGGCCUAUCGGCUUGUUGGUGGGGUAAUGGCCUACCAAGGCGUCGCCGGGAAGCCGGCCUGUGGGGGUGUACGGCCACACUGGGACUGAGGGACGGCCCAGACUCCGACGGGAGGGAGCAGUGGGGAAGAUUGCACGAUGGGCGCAAGGCUGAUGCAGCGACGCCGCGUGGGGGAUGACGGUCUUCGGGUUGUAAACUCAUUUCGCUAGGGACGAAGCGUUUUGUGACGGUACCUGGAGAAGAAGCACCGGCUAACUACGUG